CGGUCAGUACGUUUACUUUGAAAAAAUUAGAGUGCUCAAAGCAGGCAUUUCGCCUGAAUACUGUUGCAUGGAAUAAUGAAAUAGGACUUUGGUUCUAUUUUGUUGGUCUUCGGAACCAAGGUAAUGAUUAAGAGGGACAGACGGGGGCAUUAGUAUUGCGACGCUAGAGGUGAAAUUCUUGGACCGUCGCAAGACUAACUAAAGCGAAAGCAUUUGCCAAGAAUGUUUUCAUUAAUCAAGAACGAAAGUUAGAGGUUCGAAGGCGAUCAGAUACCGCCCUAGUUCUAACCAUAAACGAUGCCAACCAGCAAUCAGCCUGAGUUCUCUUAAUGACUCGGCUGGCGGCUUCCGGGAAACCAAAGUUUUUCGGUUCCAGGGGAAGUAUGGUUGCAAAGCUGAAACUUAAAGGAAUUGACGGAAGGGCACCACCAGGAGUGGAGCCUGCGGCUUAAUUUGACUCAACACGGGGAAACUCACCCGGCCCGGACACUGGAAGGAUUGACAGAUUGAGAGCUCUUUCUUGAUUCAGUGGGUGGUGGUGCAUGGCCGUUCUUAGUUGGUGGAGUGAUUUGUCCGGUUAAUUCCGUUAACGAACGAGACCUUAGCCUACUAA
RNAcentral lists this ribosomal RNA (613 nucleotides) under uncultured eukaryote. RNAcentral's name for it is "SSU rRNA". It matches the Rfam family "Eukaryotic small subunit ribosomal RNA", at positions 740 to 1354 of the family's 1831-position model. The record is from RNAcentral.